This 2558-nucleotide long non-coding RNA is filed under the name Homo sapiens (human). RNAcentral describes it as "HSALNT0254310". Lineage: Eukaryota; Metazoa; Chordata; Mammalia; Primates; Hominidae. The record is from RNAcentral.
AUGGAGAUCACCCAGUAGCCCUCAGGAGUCGGGGCUCCCACUUGUGAACCGGGAGCUCAGCUGAGACUCUCUGCGUGGCCAACCCUCUCCAGAGACCGGCUCCACCGCCAGCCAGAUUGGAUGCUGAGCGUGUCCACACAGCACGCACUCACUGGGACUCAGCGUGCUGGGACUCAGCUCCCCGCCGCCCAGUCCCUCGGGCCUAGGUCAGCUCGCCAGCUGGUGGCCUGAGGCAGAUCUCAGGACCUCCCUGUGCCUCAGUUUCCUCACCUGAAAAAUGGGAAUAAUUGGAGUUGCUUCCUCAGAGUACCCCUGCCCCUAGCUCCCUGCAGGUACAGUGGGGAUGGGGCAGGAGAUAGAGCGGGGACCUGCAGGACGUACCCCUCCCCCAGGGAAUGGGGGACGCCACCCCACCCCUGGCGAGCCCGGAAGGUGGCUGCUGAUUGAACAAUGGGAGAAACAAGCUUUCUUCUAGCGCAAGGUGACUCACCUGCUGGCCCAGGGACAAAGCUCCCCCAGCCACUCCCCACCGCCCGCCACCCCCCACCGCCCGCCACACACACACACACACACACAUACACACACACACACCGCACAGCACGGAGAGGGGGUGAGUCAUUCCACCCCACCACAUCUGUGAUGGCCUCCCUGGGUGCGUACUAACCUGUGGGGUGGGGGGAUUAUACUAAGGGCCGCCCGGGACCCUCCCUGCUUGGCCUCACAGCCAGGGAGAGAAGGCCCAACCACCCCCAGCCUGGCAUUCAAGGCCUGGCUUUGAACACAUGCCCCCCCCCCACACACCCCAGCUUCAUUCAGUUUUAUCUCAUUGACUCAUUCAACAAACAUUCCCUAAUGAAGUCCUGUGAGGGCCCCGAAACUGGGCUAACGCCAGACGCCUCCCCAGCCCCACCGCCUCUUCCUCAGAUGACAAGGAGUCUUUUCGUCCUUCCAUUGGCCUACCUGACUUGGACUCCUACACAUCCUACAAAACCCAACCUCAGGGCUCCUCCUCCAGGAAGGGAGGACUGCCGCCUCCCCAGUUCUGAUCUCAGGGGGAUGGGGAUGACUUUUCCCCUCCCUAAGUAUGGGAGCCCCAGCGGGAGGGACAGAGGCUGUGGCCGCAGCUCUAGGGUGGUGGGGGCAGGGGAGCAGGAGUGAUCUGAGAAGUUUGCUAAAUCCAGCGAAUGGCCUGGUUCCCCUCCCCCAUCCCCGGUCUGCAGAUUCUGCCUAAGGAGGUGCGAAUCCCUUCCCCUUUCCCCAUUCCCCAUUCCCCAGUCCAACACCCCCUCCCCACCCAGAGGUCCACGAGGCGAGACAGACCCAAAGAGAGAGGCAAGGACGUGGGCGUUGGUCGGUCUUGCGGGGAGGAGGUGCCGUGCUCUCCCCACUUCCUGACCCAGCAGAAAGCGCCCGGGCGUGUCCAGAUAAACCGCGCCUUAAUCGAGGCGCCAUUCCGGCCCGGAACAGGCCAGGCCCAGCCAGCCUAACCCACCUGGGGACGCCCCUCGGACCCUCCCGGGGCGGGGUCCUCACUCCCGACCAGGACCUCUGUCUCUGCAUCUGCGAAGUGGGCGCCCCCAGGCCUGUGCUCCCCCCACCCACCUGUCGUCUCGUCUCGGCUUUCAGGGUGCAGAGUGGACACUCCCAGGUGUCCAAGCCGGCGAGCUCGGGUCCCGCAGAACCGGCGGCCCUGGAGACGCCCCGAGGGCAGCCCCGCUGCAGCCUUGCUCGGGUCCCCUAGCCCGGCGCCUCCGCAAACCAACCCACCGCGGGCCGCCGAGCCCCGCUCCGGGAUCCGCCGGCUGCCUCCAUCCCAGAAGAGUGCGCAGAGAAUUAAAUCUAGAUAUUUACAUGUUUAAUGGCUAAAGGAGCCUGUCUUCUGGCAGGGCAGGGAGGGCGCUCAGGUGGUUUAACUCAGCGCCGGGAUCCCGCUCAGCUGCGGGGGCCGCGAACCCCGCCGCUGGGCCGACGAUUGGGCCCCUCCGGAGCGCGGCGCCCAACGCGGGUUUCGUUGCGUCGGGGAAGUCCGUGGCCUGCAGCGUCCAGUCCCCAGGCUGUCAGCCGAGCCCUGGAGUGGGGCGUUCUCCAGGCCCCCAACCCCUGAUCCAGGCCGUUCCCCUCCCGCGCACCCUCCGGCGGGGGCUGCAGCCCGCGCCCCUCGCCGCCAAGCCCCAUUUUCCCACAGUGCAAACUGCAGCAAACGAACUGGUUUUCUCCUGAGCGCACGCUGCGGGGAGACGAUUCCAACGGCGUCCAGUGAGGAGGGGCCCAGGCCUGCGAGACGGGGCGCGUUCCUGUCCCCAGACCCCUCCGGCUGCGCCUCAACCCCCAGCCCGGCUCUCUGACCUGCAUCGGUCGGGCCGGGCACAGAGGAGGCAAAGCAGGCGGAGGCCGCGAGAGGAGAGCAGCCUGACCUCCCGCCUGAGCCCGGACCCUUCCCCUCGGGCACCCUCGGACGCCCCCGCCCCAGCGUGUUACUUUCUAGAUGGGGAAACUGAGGCGCGGCCAGGGCGAUGCGGCGGAAGUCCCGCGCCCGGCCGUCUCCCGCGCCUGCCAGA